GACGAACGCUGGCGGCGUGCCUAACACAUGCAAGUCGAACGGAAAGGCCCUGCUUUUGUGGGGUGCUCGAGUGGCGAACGGGUGAGUAACACGUGAGUAACCUGCCCUUGACUUUGGGAUAACUUCAGGAAACUGGGGCUAAUACCGGAUAGGAGCUCCUGCUGCAUGGUGGGGGUUGGAAAGUUUCGGCGGUUGGGGAUGGACUCGCGGCUUAUCAGCUUGUUGGUGGGGUAGUGGCUUACCAAGGCUUUGACGGGUAGCCGGCCUGAGAGGGUGACCGGCCACAUUGGGACGGAGAUACGGCCCAGACUCCUACGGGAGGCAGCAGUGGGGAAUAGUGCACAAUGGGCGGAAGCCUGAUGCAGCAACGCCGCGUGCGGGAUGACGGCCUUCGGGUUGUAAACCGCUUUCGCCUGUGACGAAGCGUGAGUGACGGUAAUGGGUAAAGAAGCACCGGCUAACUACGUG
RNAcentral lists this ribosomal RNA (468 nucleotides) under uncultured bacterium. RNAcentral describes it as "partial 16S ribosomal RNA". It matches the Rfam family "Bacterial small subunit ribosomal RNA", at positions 28 to 507 of the family's 1533-position model. The record is from RNAcentral.